RNAcentral lists this ribosomal RNA (906 nucleotides) under Arthrinium sp. RNAcentral's name for it is "LSU rRNA". It matches the Rfam family "Eukaryotic large subunit ribosomal RNA", at positions 35 to 971 of the family's 3401-position model. The record is from RNAcentral. Lineage: Eukaryota; Fungi; Ascomycota; Sordariomycetes; Amphisphaeriales; Apiosporaceae.
UAUACAUAUCAAUAAGCGGAGGAAAAGAAACCAACAGGGAUUCCCCUAGUAACGGCGAGUGAAGCGGGAACAGCUCAAAUUUGAAAUCUGGCCCUUGGGUCCGAGUUGUAAUUUGCAGAGGAUGCUUUUGGUGCGGUGCCUUCCGAGUUCCCUGGAACGGGACGCCUUAGAGGGUGAGAGCCCCGUACGGUUGGACACCAAGCCUAUGUAAAGCUCCUUCGACGAGUCGAGUAGUUUGGGAAUGCUGCUCAAAAUGGGAGGUAUAUUUCUUCUAAAGCUAAAUAUUGGCCAGAGACCGAUAGCGCACAAGUAGAGUGAUCGAAAGAUGAAAAGCACUUUGAAAAGAGGGUUAAAUAGCACGUGAAAUUGUUGAAAGGGAAGGAUUUAUGACCAGACUUUUUCUAGGGGGAUCAUCCGGUGUUCUCACCGGUGCACUUCCCCUAGUUGAGGCCAGCAUCGGUUUCUGUCGGGGGAUAAAAGCUUCAGGAAUGUGGCUCCCUCCGGGGAGUGUUAUAGCCUGUUGCAUAAUACCCUGACGGGGACCGAGGUUCGCGCAUUGCAAGGAUGCUGGCGUAAUGGUUAUUAAUCACCCGUCUUGAAACACGGACCAAGGAGUCGAACAUUUGUGCGAGUGUUUGGGUGUUAAACCCUCACGCGUAAUGAAAGUGAACGGAGGUGAGAGCCUUUCGGGGUGCAUCAUCGACCGAUCCUGAUGUCUUCGGAUGGAUUUGAGUAAGAGCAUUAAUGUUCGGACCCGAAAGAUGGUGAACUAUGCGUGGAUAGGGUGAAGCCAGAGGAAACUCUGGUGGAGGCUCGCAGCGGUUCUGACGUGCAAAUCGAUCGUCAAAUCUGCGCAUGGGGGCGAAAGACUAAUCGAACCAUCUAGUAGCUGGUUACCGCGAGUCC